CUUCCUUUUCCAUCUCCACCUUUCUUCAGCCGUUCUCCCCAUUUCUUCUCCCUUCCAUCCCCUCUCCCACUUUUCCUUAAUGGUCUCUCCUUUUCUAUUCUCUCACAGAUCCUAUCAAGACAUCCUGUGACUAUCCUCACCCACCCACUAGAACUCAGGAUCUCGAGUUCCCAAGACUUCAGUGCUCAGGAAUUGAGGGUUAAAGAGAGGAGCUGGGUGUAAGGGCGUGUGUGGUUUGAAUGCUGGAAUCUGCAAUGAACUGGAGAACAGUCGCCCUGUCCAAAGGAAGCAGGUCUAUCCAGUUGCUUGUUGUCAAAUACGCAAUAAGAGCUGGCUUGGUUGUAACCUACAUUUUUCAAGAAAAGUAGAAGUCUGGACUUUUAUGUGAAAGUAAAAUUUGACCUAAAAUACACUUUUGCUAGCUGACAACAACGUGGGGCCUCCCAGUUUGUGUCUCUUCUAUAAAAAGUUUGUCCUAAAUGCCAUAUUGGUAGUUUUAGAUUCACAAUGGUUUCUAUUGUGAAUUUGGAUUUAUAAAGAGGCACAUUUUCUCUUUAAAAGAAAGGCUGUAAGAAACAGGUGUCUUAAGCUUUUAUUUGGUAUAACUUGAUUAACAGAAAUAAUAGUGAGUGUGUAUUAUGUAGGAAAAAACUACUCUGAGUAGGGAUAUUUCUCUCAAAUGGGAAGUCAUUUCAUUCAGACUGGAAGAAGAUAGUCAUGAAGAUAUCCCCCCAAAAUAGGCUCUCUUACUUAUAGUUAUUACACAAGACAAUGCACAGAAAGAACUCACACCUGGGCAGGUGUGAGCUGUAGGGAUGCUGGCUCAGCUGUCUUCUCUAUUCUUAGCUUAGGAAGGAGAGAGCAGGAAGCUUAGAGGGACAGGAGACCUCCUGAUACAGGACAUAAGGAGGCCAAGUUAAAAUCAUCUGUUGGCUAUCAGGGAUGUAGUCUCUUGGCACCAAAAGCCUUGGGAAUGGGGCCCAGUCAUCUGUGUUUUAACAAGUUCUCAGGUAAUUUUGAUAUUCAGCUAUAGUUAGAGAACCACUGUUCUUUGGCAUUAUGUAAUGUUAUGCAAUAAAUUUCUCAGAAUGCUAAGUGAAAAUAUUGGCUUGGGGUUAGACAGGAAAGGCUUCCUGGAAGGAAGGGAGUUUGAAGCAGAACUUAGAGAGGCAGUAAGGUGAACCAGCAAGUGCACUGGAUCAGGAUACUGGAGUUCUAGCCUCUGACUCGGGUUCCCUCUUUGCUAAAUAGAGAUAAUAAUCUGUCUUGAUUACAGAUUGAAAAUUUGUAUCCCCCUUUCUCCCCCCUCCCCCCAAUUUACCUGUUGCAAAUCUGAUGCUCAGGGUGAUGGUAUUAGGAGGUAAGGCCUUUGGGAAGUGAUUAGGUCAUGAGGUCUGAGCUCUCAUGAAGAGAUUUGUGCCCUUAUAAAAGAGGCCCCUUCCCCACAACCAUGGGAGAACACACUGGAAGGUACCAUCUGGGUACCAGAAGGUGGACCUUAGCCAGACACUGAAUCUUCUGGUUCCUGAUCUUAGACUUUACAGUCUCCAAACUAUGAUAAAUAAAUUUCGAUUGUUUAUAAGCCACCCAGUAUUUUGUUAUAGCAGCCCAAAUGGACAAAGACAAAUUUUCUCACAAACUUAUUGUGGGGAGCAAAUGUGUACAAAUGUGUGGCAAUCUACAAUGCCUUAAAAAAUGUGUGGCCUGGUACUGUUUUUCGUACCACACUGCCCUCAGGCAAUGCUGUUCAGCUUAGCUUCCUUAAACAGUAUCAAAUUUGUGAACCGAUCCCAUUGGCCUUUUACAUUCUUAGGGCAUGUGUGUUAAAGUUCCUUCUGAAAUAUUUUUGGAAAUCUUCAGCAUAAAUUUACAGCAUUGAUUUAUUUGGAAAAUAAAGGCCUAUCUUUCCAAGAA
Molecule: long non-coding RNA, 1914 nt
Organism: Pteropus alecto (black flying fox)
Lineage: Eukaryota; Metazoa; Chordata; Mammalia; Chiroptera; Pteropodidae
Exons: 2
Source: RefSeq, a predicted model, not a curated record